UUGACCUCAAAUCAGGUAGGACUACCCGCUGAUCUUAAGCAUAUCAAUAAGCGGA
This 55-nucleotide ribosomal RNA is filed under the name uncultured soil eukaryote. RNAcentral describes it as "partial 28S ribosomal RNA". The record is from RNAcentral.